Non-coding RNA from Yokenella regensburgei ATCC 43003, 65 nucleotides. The record is from Rfam. NCBI's taxonomy places the organism in Bacteria, Pseudomonadati, Pseudomonadota, Gammaproteobacteria, Enterobacterales, Enterobacteriaceae.
UUCGGUACGACAUUGCUCACAUUGCUUCCAGUAUUAUUUGCCCGCACUCUGUGCGGGCUUUUUUU